This 253-nucleotide ribosomal RNA is filed under the name uncultured bacterium. RNAcentral's name for it is "partial 16S ribosomal RNA". It matches the Rfam family "Bacterial small subunit ribosomal RNA", at positions 524 to 776 of the family's 1533-position model. The record is from RNAcentral.
UACGGGGGGGGCAAGCGUUGUUCGGAAUUACUGGGCGUAAAGGGCUCGUAGGCGGCCAACUAAGUCGGAUGUGAAAUCCCCAGGCUUAACCUGGGAACUGCAUCCGAUACUGGAUGGCUUGAAUCCGGGAGAGGGAUGCAGAAUUCCAGAUGUAGCGGUGAAAUGCGUAGAUAUCAGGAGGAACACCGGUGGCGAAGGCGGGUCUCUGGGCCGAUACUGACGCUGAGGAGCGAAAGCGUGGGGAGCGAACAGG